Molecule: ribosomal RNA, 497 nt
Filed under: uncultured bacterium
Lineage: Bacteria
Description: partial 16S ribosomal RNA
Rfam family: Bacterial small subunit ribosomal RNA
Source: RNAcentral
GAUGAACGCUGGCGGCGUGCCUAAUACAUGCCAGUCGAGCGAACAGACGAGGAGCUUUCUCCUCUGACGUUAGCGGCGGACGGGUGAGUAACACGUGGAUAACCUACCUAUAAGACUGGGAUAACUUCGGGAAACCGGAGCUAAUACCGGAUAAUAUAUUGAACCGCAUGGUUCAAUAGUGAAAGACGCUUUUGCUGUCACUUAUAGCUGGUUCCGUGUCGCAUUAGCUAGUUGGUAAGGUAACGGCUUACCAAGGCGACGAUGCGUAGCCGACCUGAGAGGAUGAUCAGCCACACUGGAACUGAGACACGGUCCAGACUCCUACGGGAGGCAGCAGUGGGGAAUAUUGGACAAUGGGCGAAAGCCUGACGCAGCCACACCGCGUGGGUGAAGAAGGUCUUCGGGUCGUAAAGCUCUGUUGUUGGGAAAGAAAAGCAGCAGGUGAAUAUCUCGACGUCUUGACGGUACCCAAAGAGAAAGCACCGGCUAACUACGUG